Molecule: ribosomal RNA, 253 nt
Filed under: uncultured bacterium
Lineage: Bacteria
Description: partial 16S ribosomal RNA
Rfam family: Bacterial small subunit ribosomal RNA
Source: RNAcentral
UACGGAGGGAGCUAGCGUUGUUCGGAAUUACUGGGCGUAAAGCGCGCGUAGGCGGCUUUGCAAGUUAGAGGUGAAAGCCCGGGGCUCAACCCCGGAACUGCCUUUAAGACUGCAUCGCUUGAAUCCAGGAGAGGUGAGUGGAAUUCCGAGUGUAGAGGUGAAAUUCGUAGAUAUUCGGAAGAACACCAGUGGCGAAGGCGGCUCACUGGACUGGUAUUGACGCUGAGGUGCGAAAGCGUGGGGAGCAAACAGG